RNAcentral lists this transfer RNA (71 nucleotides) under Camelus bactrianus (Bactrian camel). It matches the Rfam family "tRNA". From Rfam's summary of the family: Transfer RNA (tRNA) molecules are approximately 80 nucleotides in length. Their secondary structure includes four short double-helical elements and three loops (D, anti-codon, and T loops). The record is from Rfam by way of RNAcentral. Lineage: Eukaryota; Metazoa; Chordata; Mammalia; Artiodactyla; Camelidae. RNAcentral also lists the same sequence under 2 other names.
GAGGGUAUACCUCAAGUGGUAGAGCGCAUGCUUAGCAUGCAUGAGGUCCUGGGUUCAUCCCAGCACCUCCU